RNAcentral lists this ribosomal RNA (981 nucleotides) under uncultured Bacteroidota bacterium. RNAcentral's name for it is "bacterial SSU rRNA". It matches the Rfam family "Bacterial small subunit ribosomal RNA", at positions 509 to 1504 of the family's 1533-position model. The record is from RNAcentral. Lineage: Bacteria; Pseudomonadati; Bacteroidota.
CAGCAGCCGCGGUAAUACGGAGGGUCCGAGCGUUAUCCGGAAUUAUUGGGUUUAAAGGGUCCGCAGGCGGGCAAUUAAGUCAGGGGUGAAAUGGUACGGCUCAACCGUAGCACUGCCCUUGAUACUGGUUGUCUUGAGUCAUAGUGAAGUGGCCGGAAUAUGUAGUGUAGCGGUGAAAUGCAUAGAUAUUACAUAGAACACCGAUUGCGAAGGCAGGUCACUAACUAUCGACUGACGCUGAUGGACGAAAGCGUGGGGAGCGAACAGGGUUAGAUACCCUGGUAGUCCACGCCGUAAACGAUGAACACUCGUUGUCUGCGAUAUACUGUAGGCGACUGAGCGAAAGCAUUAAGUGUUCCACCUGGGGAGUACGUUGGCAACAAUGAAACUCAAAGGAAUAGACGGGGGCCCGCACAAGCGGAGGAACAUGUGGUUUAAUUCGAUGAUACGCGAGGAACCUUACCCGGGUUUAAAUGCAGGACGAAAUUCCGAGAAAUUGGAACCCCUUCGGGCGGACCGCAAGGUGCUGCAUGGCUGUCGUCAGCUCGUGCCGUGAGGUGUCGGGUUAAGUCCCAUAACGAGCGCAACCCCUAUUGUCAGUUGCUAACAGGUAAUGCUGAGGACUCUAACGAGACUGCCACCGUAAGGUGUGAGGAAGGUGGGGAUGACGUCAAGUCAGCACGGCCCUUAURUCCGGGGCUACACACGUGUUACAAUGGUCGAUACAAAGGGCAGCUACACAGCGAUGUGAUGCAAAUCUCAAAAAUCGAUCUCAGUUCGGAUUGAAGUCUGCAACUCGACUUCAUGAAGGUGGAUUCGCUAGUAAUCGUGCAUCAGCAACGGCACGGUGAAUACGUUCCCGGGCCUUGUACACACCGCCCGUCAAGCCAUGGAAGCUGAGGGUACCUGAAGUCUGUAACCGUAAGGAACGGCCUAAGGUAAAAUUAGUAACUGGGGCUAAGUCGUAACAAGGUAACCGUA